GCGGCUAUGGUAUAACGGUUAUUACGUCGCUCUGUGGCAGCGAAUACCUGGGUUCGACUCCCAGUAGCCGCCCCA
Molecule: transfer RNA, 75 nt
Filed under: Candidatus Doudnaibacteriota bacterium
Lineage: Bacteria; Candidatus Doudnaibacteriota
Description: Candidatus Doudnabacteria bacterium (hot springs metagenome) tRNA-His
Rfam family: tRNA
About the family: Transfer RNA (tRNA) molecules are approximately 80 nucleotides in length.
Source: RNAcentral